AGAACGAACGCUGGCGGCAGGCUUAACACAUGCAAGUCGAACGCUCGUAGCAAUACGGGAGUGGCAGACGGGUGAGUAACGCGUGGGAACCUUCCCUGUGGUACGGAAUAACUUCGGGAAACCGAAGCUAAUACCGUAUAUCUCCUCCGGGAGAAAGAUUUAUCGCCAUAGGAUGGGCCCGCGUUGGAUUAGCUAGUUGGUGAGGUAACGGCUCACCAAGGCAACGAUCCAUAGCUGGUCUGAGAGGAUGAUCAGCCACACUGGGACUGAGACACGGCCCAGACUCCUACGGGAGGCAGCAGUGGGGAAUAUUGGACAAUGGGCGCAAGCCUGAUCCAGCAAUGCCGCGUGAGUGAAGAGGCCUUAGGGUUGUAAAGCUCUUUUGGCGGGGACGAGUAAUGACGGUACCGCAGAAUAAGCCCCGGCUAACUUCGCGCCAGCAGCCGC
This 447-nucleotide ribosomal RNA is filed under the name uncultured bacterium. RNAcentral's name for it is "SSU rRNA". It matches the Rfam family "Bacterial small subunit ribosomal RNA", at positions 26 to 518 of the family's 1533-position model. The record is from RNAcentral.